CUUAAUUUUGCUUUAGUAAGUGGGUUCUGUUGGUGUGUGCAAUUUCUGCAUGCUAAUAAAUGUUCUAAACAAAAACCUAUUGUGCCCCCAUUUUUUUUCAUGUGCUCCUACAUUUUUUAACUUAGGGGCACGAGUGCUCCUGAAAAAAAAAGUUAGCGUAGAGCCCUGGUUACAAGACAUGAAUGUGGAUGAGGAUGUGGAAGAGGAUGUUGUGACUCUGCCACCACACCACAGAUGUGCAUCACACACAGCAAACCUUAUAUCAUGCUCUGAUGUGGACAAGUGGCUACUCUCAAGGCCAGACAUAAAAUCUGUGUACAGAAGUGCUACCUCAAAAUGUGCAGCUUUGUGGAAUAAGGCUAGCCGUUCCACAAUUGCUGCAGAGACCGUGGAUGAAGUCCUUGAAAGGAAGCUCCUUGUCCCAUGUACAACCAGAUGGAACUCCUUUCAUGAUGCCGUUGCUCGUGUCUGUGAAUUCCCGCUCGCCGAGCUGAACACCAUCUCCUACAAUUUUGGGUUGAAGGCCAUCACAGAUCGGGAGUACCAGUUCCUCAGAGAAUACUGCACAGUGUUGAAGCCACUAACAGUAGCCCUCGACAUUCUUCAGGGUGAAGACAACUGUUUCUAUGGCACACUCCUUCCCACACUGGAGACAUUGAUCUCCAAGACCCUGGACUUGAAGAGUGGCCUGCAAAUCCUUGGUGACCUUCCAGAGGCUGUUGUCAUGGCGAUCAAAACCAGAUUUGCAGAGGUGCUGGAAAGUGAGACUGCCGUCUUGGCUGCCGUGACACUGCCCAGGUUUAAACUACGUUGGCUGCGAACACAGGAAAGGAAGGACAAAGCCAAGGCAGGUUUGCUGGCAGAGUGCAGGAAAAGUGCCCAAGAUGAAGACCAGCUGACAGACUCUAACAACGUCUGCUGCAGCUUCGUUCUCGUCGUCAGAAGAUGAGGAAGACCAGUCAGCGCCAAUGAUGUCAACACCAUUGAAGAAUCCUCCCUCUGGCAGAGCACAGUUUUCACCAGGCCUCGAUACCAAUGGUGAAACCGACGAAAGCUAUCGGCCUGAAUCAACCCUCACCCCCACAUCGGCGUCGUCAUCAGAGGAUGAAGGUGUUAAGGAAUGGCGUGAAAAGAAGAUUAUUGUCAAUGAAUCCAGCGUAACUAUUCAAAUUUUGCCAGAUGUGUGGGAAACCGAUUUCAUCUAAGACCAUCUUUGAUUCUGGCGCACAGAGGCACAGAGGUGAAAUGGAUGUGUCUUGGGGGCCAUUCUGGGACCUGGACAUCUUCACCUGACGUAAGAGGAAUGCCAGAGGUUAAUCUCCUUUCAGCUGCAGCUGUUCUGUUCAGGGGCGGCACAUACACGGAACUCUCAGACUGGUGCCAAACCAUGGGUCUCCAAAUGAUUGGAACAACUACGUUUUAUAACAUUCAGAAGGCGUACUUGCACCCUGCUAUUGAGAACGUGUAUUGGGAGAAAAGAACAGAACUCUUGGCAAGAGUUCAUUUGGAACAGGAAGAUGGGAAGAGGCCACAUUUGGCAGGUGAUGGCCGAUGUGACUCGCCAGGCUUCAAUGCAAAAUACUGCCACUACACCUUUAUGUUGGACGACACAAAGGAGAUACUCCACACAGAACUGGUGCAGUGUAGAGAGACCACCAGCUCUGGAACCAUGGAGCCACUGGGUUUUACGAGAGGAAUGACUGAGCUUCUGGACUUGGGCCUUGACGUGGAGGUGAUGGCCACGGACCGCUCCACAUCAAUACAAAAAAUAAUUCGGGAACAAUAUCCUAGUGUCCAGCACGAAUUUGACAUCUGGCACACAGGAAAAGGUAUGUAUUUUUUGCCAUUCUUGUAAACAUACACACGCAAUUCUUCUCCGGGCCUACCCCCCAUUGAUAGCUCAUGGUAUCACUCUUCACCCCUGCCCAGAUCUGUGCAGCCUCGCUGAACUUAGUCAUUGUAGAGGUGUGAUUUCCUUUCAUUCAAGAAAACACACAAUCCACACGUCUACACUGGCUGAGGGAAGCAAUGCUUCGAAGCUCUGGGAGGGGGUUGAGAGUGAGAAACUAGAAGGUGUGUGUGGAGGCUAUCUUAUAAACCCUCUGCAUGGAUCUCAAAAUGUUCUCAACACAUAGCAAAAUAGAAUCAUAGGUCCAGAGGGUGUUCCAUGAACGGAGGUAUAACAAACACUGACUGUACGUCCACACCAGGAGCGACACUCUCAAAGUUUCGCUACAAAUUUUUCUGUUCGCUUUGGUCGUUCAUGACGUACAAUUCAAUUAUGCAGACGCAUUUAAAGGAGCCGUUUGCGUUUAGUAGGCCCUACAGACAGCCAUAUCAAAUAGUGAACUCUCCCAUACACCUUUGCCAUAUUGCCGAGACGGUUUUGCUUGUUCGAUAAAGUGCUUCGACAACAAGUAGGACAGUGAUUCCCCCCAAUAUAAAAAAAAAUCCUAAAAUGUAGGCUAAUUACAACCGAGAACAAAAAACCCUGCGUGCUGUAGUAGUUAAAAUAUGUUUCACUGAUCUGCAUCUGCAAAUCAUGAUCUGCACUCAUUCGUCGCACUCAAAACAAAUAGACAUUGGCGCACAUGGCUAAUUUGCAUACGUGCACAGGACUGGUUGGCUCCGCAAGGCAAAUAAUGGAACAUAUCUAUCUAUCUAGGCCUAUCUGUCUAUCUAUCUAUCAACGCGUGUCUAGUUUUAAUGUGAUGUAUUGUGUGUAUGUCCAGUCAGACUUGUUCUGUGUGGUCUUGUAGGCUACUGUCCUGUGUGGGCCGAACCACCUAAAUGGAUUCCCGGCGAUUUGUGUCGUUUGGUAUUAAUAAAGACUUGACUAGGCGAUCUAUCUAUCUAGACUAUUUAAUUAACAAUUAUUCACCUCAGUCUCCGUGAAUGGUGGGGAAUAGAGGGAUAAAAGA
Molecule: RNA transcript, 2921 nt
Organism: Gadus chalcogrammus (walleye pollock)
Lineage: Eukaryota; Metazoa; Chordata; Actinopteri; Gadiformes; Gadidae
Exons: 5
Source: RefSeq, a predicted model, not a curated record